RNAcentral lists this ribosomal RNA (254 nucleotides) under uncultured bacterium. Its description in RNAcentral is "partial 16S ribosomal RNA". It matches the Rfam family "Bacterial small subunit ribosomal RNA", at positions 524 to 776 of the family's 1533-position model. The record is from RNAcentral.
UACGGGGGGAGCAAGCGUUGUUCGGAUUUACUGGGCGUAAAGGGCGCGUAGGCGGCCACCGCAAGUCGACUGUGAAAUCUCCGGGCUUAACUCGGAAAGGUCAGCCAAUACUGCGGGGCUAGAGUGCAGAAGGGGCAACUGGAAUUCUCGGUGUAGCGGUGAAAUGCGUAGAUAUCGAGAGGAACACCUGCGGCGAAGGCGGGUUGCUGGGCUGACACUGACGCUGAGGCGCGAAAGCUAGGGGAGCGAACGGG